Long non-coding RNA from Gasterosteus aculeatus aculeatus (three-spined stickleback), 805 nucleotides. The record is from Ensembl. NCBI's taxonomy places the organism in Eukaryota, Metazoa, Chordata, Actinopteri, Perciformes, Gasterosteidae.
GUCACUUCUAAUCAACUGAUGAGAAUCACCUUUGUCUGAAAGUGCAGAGUCACUGUUGGUCACAGAGAAGUUGCCCAGUAGGACACACAGUAGACCGACACAAAAACUGCCUGACGAUGUGAAAUAACAUUAAAGUCAAUGAGAAAGUGAAGAGGGUCGUUUGGUGCUUUCAACUAAAUAAUAUCUACAUGCUUGUUGAUGAAAGGGGAGGAGUUUCUCUGUGAUCAAAACAAAUGCUUGGUCAUACAGCGCGCUUCUGUUCCAUCCCUCUCUGUGUGGGAGACAGCUGAACAGAUGGGAAAGACACACAAGAGAUCAAGUGCAGUUUGUUUUUAGGUUACACCGUGUCCGCGCCACAAGGACUCUGUGUUACUGACACGAUGAACCAAAUAGAUAAGCAGGGUGAGGACGGUGUCUGUUCACUGCGUAAGCUAUUCUCCUGCUAACAGCCACUAUAGAGAGAUAAGAAAGCAUAACCAAAUUCAAAUCCUGCUAGGGGUGUUUUCUUUAAGACAGGAAAGGUCGACCAGCAUUACAAUAUUGAUGUGAAUGUUAGAAUGAUCAUUAGCAGUGAAACCCGGCCUCGAGGUGGAGGCAGCUGCAUGUUGACUUCCCUGUUAUCCAGAUCUAGAGGCAAAGUUGCUUCAACGAUCCUCUGUCUCCUGCUUCUGUUUAGGUACACAAGCUAUGCUUCAAUAAGUUCAUUGUCAACAUUUUCUACAUGAUGUUAUGAUAAAUUUGUCAACGUAUUUGUAUUCUGUGACUGAAACAGUCAGAGUGGAGUUAUAAAUCUCUAUAUUUGCAG